ACACACACCUGCCGCCGCGCACCCGGCUCCGCACUCCCGACUCACCCUCCUGGGGCGCUCACAAUGGCCCCCUGGCCCCGGCCCGCCAGAUCCCCGGAGCGCAGCCCGCAGGGCCUGUGGAGUGGCACUGCGUCCCCUACCAGGCUGGCCCCGCCUGAGGUCCCUCGCUGCUCCCAGAGGGGCCCCCUCGGGUGUCCCUUCUUCUAAACCCUGCCCCGCCGGGCCGCGGCGGUGCUCUCAACCAGAUCCCCGGCCGGGGCGCCCAACUCCGGCUUCCGGCGCUCCCACCCAGAGGCACCGGCUCCGUCCUCCUGUCGCCUGCGCUGCCGCCCGCAGCCGCGUGCUCUCUGCUCCUUUCUCUCCCCUUUUCUGCCACUGCCUUGCCUUUUACCUCCUCUCCUUUCUCCCACCUGCACCCGCCGAGAUCCCUGUCCUCUGUCUCUCCUGCUGCCUCUCCGUCUAUCUUGCCGACGCCCUCUCCCGCGCCUCCUCCUCCCCACCGCCCUGCACUGCCCUCACAUUCUCCGCGCUAUAUGGGGUGCCGCCCGCCACUCGCCCGGCCUAGGGUUCGGGCACACAGUGGGCGGUGAGGGAACCCGCCGCUCCCGGGCCCCGCUGGCCCCUCAGCUCUCGGCUCGCUCCGCGGCUCCUCACUCCGGCCUGGCGGGCGGCGACGUCCCGCGCUAGCCUCGGCUGUCACUGACAGCUCCCAUCUCGCCCGGGCUUAAAGGGAUAGCGCACCGGACUCGACCUGCCCCACCCGGGGGCGCCGGGGAGGGCGGCCUCGUGCGCCAGGACAGUCCAGAGCGGUGGUGCUGCUGGGGCCGGGCGGGCGGCGCCCUGUCUUCCGCCUUUGAGCCAGGCCCUCCGGGGCUGGAGGUGGCUCCAUUCCUAUCUAAAUUUUCAUGUGAAGGAUGUGCCUCAAUGACAAGGGCUGUUCUCAACCCUGGAAUGAGAUGAAUGCAGCAGAAGUACUUAGUCCAAGUGCUCAGUCAAUGUCAUUGGCCGCCAUCAUCGCCACCAUCAUCCUCAUCUUCCCUGAGCAGACGCCUCUUCUGGGAUAGCAACCACACCCAUAUGUGCACCCCCAGUUUGUAGCUCCAAAAAGCACACCUAGGGAGAAGGCAGCAGUCUCCAUUGCUGAGUACAAAAGAUGGCCAGAUGGCAGACUUAAGGGGAAGAAGGAGGGCCUUUCUUUCAAAGGCUGCUCAGAUCCGUUCUGUCCCAAAGCUCCCCCUUGGGAGGACCUGGAAUAUCCUCAUCCCUCCUGUGCUUUUAAGUUAAAACUGAGUACAGGUCUGAGAGGGUCUCCCUCAAUCCCCCACCUUCCAUUCCUAAAUCCUGAUUGGGAAACCCCAUGAAGUAACUCCAGGACCAAGAGUUUGUGGGCCCAUCUUCUCCCUCCAUAGCCUGCUUCUUAUGGCUCCUGGGCUCCCCAUCUCCAUGGGAAACCAGGAAGCUAUAUUCUAGGGAUUGAAGAAGGCAGGGGUCCUCCCCAUUUAAGGAAGGGGCCCAACUCCCAGGGAGGGAGCUGUGUCACCACUACAAGGGUGGGGAAGGAAGAAAGAGAAAAAGAACUGUGCCUCUACCCUUUGCUCCCCACUCCCACAUUCUCCCCAUUCCCCGAACUUGGAAGGGGCAAGGCCUCAAGGCAGAGGCCCCUUAUCCUUGUCAUCACAUUCAGCCCCAGCCAGCCAGGACCCUGUUACUCAGUCUCCAUUGCAAAGCAACUAUGCAGGCUCCACUGGUGGGCCUGAGAACCCUCAACUCUGCCUUUAAACAAACACUUAUUAAGUGACUACAGUGUGCCUGACCUGUGCCAGGCAAUUCUCUUACACUUGAUGCCACUUGAUCCUGUGACAACCCAUGGAAGUAGGUGUUUUACAAGUGAGAAAAGUGAGGCUUAAA
Molecule: long non-coding RNA, 1908 nt
Organism: Sus scrofa (pig)
Lineage: Eukaryota; Metazoa; Chordata; Mammalia; Artiodactyla; Suidae
Source: RefSeq, a predicted model, not a curated record